UCCAUUAGGACUUGACCCUGCCUAAUAACGAAGAACAUAUAUACAUAUGACCAAGCAACCAAAUAGACCUUUGGUCUUUUAGCUUCAGCAAACAAGGGUUCUAUGGAAACCCUAGGCGCCGCCAAGGGGCGAUUUGCCUCUCUCAUGCGUCACCACGCCAUUUUUGGCAAAAGGGCAGGUGUGCGAUGCUUUUCUCAGUCCUUGCAUAGCCGGAUCGAGCAAAUCAUUAAUGCUCGUUCUCUUUCAUUCAAAACUACAACCAAACAAGGCUUGAGGAGCAAAGAAAUCUCCAAGUUCUAUUCUCGACCAAGGCUGCACUCAAAAGAGCCACUUGGGCCAUCUUCUGUUGAACAAAAUUGUUGGGCCAUUCUUUCUUGAUCGAGUCCGAGGAAAAUAUGAAAGGGAAGAUAAUAUAUUGAAGGCCCAACCAUGGGUGAAAAUUGUCAAUGAAGAACUAACAAUUGGUGAAAAUUGUCAAUAGUUAUGUAGAUGGGUUUGGUAAACCCAUCAACCAUUUCCUCUCUUCUUUUUCAUAUGCUAUAUGUAUGUGUAAAACAUACUUGUGAAAUAUCGAAACUUUUAUGAAUGCUUAGAACUUAGGAAAACGUUAGUAUUAUUAGGAAGUCGCUCAAA
Molecule: long non-coding RNA, 633 nt
Organism: Lycium ferocissimum
Lineage: Eukaryota; Viridiplantae; Streptophyta; Magnoliopsida; Solanales; Solanaceae
Exons: 3
Source: RefSeq, a predicted model, not a curated record